RNAcentral lists this ribosomal RNA (249 nucleotides) under uncultured Methylophilaceae bacterium. RNAcentral's name for it is "partial 16S ribosomal RNA". It matches the Rfam family "Bacterial small subunit ribosomal RNA", at positions 1136 to 1382 of the family's 1533-position model. The record is from RNAcentral. Lineage: Bacteria; Pseudomonadati; Pseudomonadota; Betaproteobacteria; Nitrosomonadales; Methylophilaceae.
CACUUUAAUGGGACUGCCGGUGAACAAACCGGAGGAAGGUGGGGAUGACGUCAAGUCCUCAUGGCCCUUAUGGGCCAGGGCUUCACACGUAAUACAAUGGUCGGUACAGAGGGUUGCCAACCCGCGAGGGGGAGCCAAUCCCAGAAAGCCGAUCGUAGUCCGGAUUGUAGUCUGCAACUCGACUACAUGAAGUCGGAAUCGCUAGUAAUCGCGGAUCAGCAUGUCGCGGUGAAUACGUUCCCGGGCCUU